This is a non-coding RNA of Tinamus guttatus (white-throated tinamou), 73 nucleotides long. The record is from Rfam. Lineage: Eukaryota; Metazoa; Chordata; Aves; Tinamiformes; Tinamidae.
GCCUGGAUAGCUCAGUUGGGAGAGCAUCAGACUUUUAAUCUGAGGGUCCAGGGUUCAAGCCCCUGUUCAGGCG